This is a non-coding RNA of Parachaetomium inaequale, 121 nucleotides long. The record is from the annotation of a GenBank genome assembly. Lineage: Eukaryota; Fungi; Ascomycota; Sordariomycetes; Sordariales; Chaetomiaceae.
GGUUAUAUAGUAUAGUAGUUAGUACAUACGCCUUCUAUAUACUUAGCCUUAGGGCCUCUAGCUAUCCUAGGGUUAAGUAAGGCUUUGUAUAAAGUUAUAGGUUCGAAUCCUAUUAUAGCCU